RNAcentral lists this ribosomal RNA (253 nucleotides) under uncultured bacterium. RNAcentral's name for it is "partial 16S ribosomal RNA". It matches the Rfam family "Bacterial small subunit ribosomal RNA", at positions 524 to 776 of the family's 1533-position model. The record is from RNAcentral.
UACGUAGGGCGCAAGCGUUAUCCGGAAUUAUUGGGCGUAAAGAGCUCGUAGGCGGUUUGUCGCGUCUGCCGUGAAAGUCCGGGGCUCAACUCCGGAUCUGCGGUGGGUACGGGCAGACUAGAGUGAUGUAGGGGAGACUGGAAUUCCUGGUGUAGCGGUGAAAUGCGCAGAUAUCAGGAGGAACACCGAUGGCGAAGGCAGGUCUCUGGGCAUUAACUGACGCUGAGACACGAAAGCGUGGGUAGCAAACAGG